GCAAGUCGAACGAGAACGGGUCUUAGCUUGCUACAGAUGACGACCGGCGCACGGGUGCGUAACGCGUAUAGAACCUACCUUUUACAGGGGAAUAGCCCAGAGAAAUUUGGAUUAAUGCCCCAUAGUAUUGUUGAAUGGCAUCGUUUAACAAUUAAACAUUUAUGGGUAAAAGAUGGCUAUGCGUUCUAUUAGCUAGAUGGUAAGGUAACGGCUUACCAUGGCAACGAUAGAUAGGGGUCCUGAGAGGGAGAUC
This 253-nucleotide ribosomal RNA is filed under the name uncultured bacterium. Its description in RNAcentral is "partial 16S ribosomal RNA". It matches the Rfam family "Bacterial small subunit ribosomal RNA", at positions 57 to 305 of the family's 1533-position model. The record is from RNAcentral.